AGCGCAGACGGUUGAUUAAGUCUGAUGUGAAAAGCCCGGAGCUCAACUCCGGAAUGGCAUUGGAAACUGGUUAACUUGAGUGUUGUAGAGGUAAGUGGAACUCCAUGUGUAGCGGUGGAAUGCGUAGAUAUAUGGAAGAACACCAGUGGCGAAGGCGGCUUACUGGACAACAGCUGACGUUGAGGCUCGAAAGUGUGGGUAGCAAACA
This 208-nucleotide ribosomal RNA is filed under the name uncultured bacterium. RNAcentral describes it as "partial 16S ribosomal RNA". It matches the Rfam family "Bacterial small subunit ribosomal RNA", at positions 568 to 774 of the family's 1533-position model. The record is from RNAcentral.